CAGCCGCCACGGUAAUACGAAGGGGGCUAGCGUUGUUCGGAUUUACUGGGCGUAAAGCGCACGUAGGCGGAUCGAUCAGUCAGGGGUGAAAUCCCAGAGCUCAACUCUGGAACUGCCUUUGAUACUGUCGAUCUGGAGUAUGGAAGAGGUGAGUGGAAUUCCGAGUGUAGAGGUGAAAUUCGUAGAUAUUCGGAGGAACACCAGUGGCGAAGGCGGCUCACUGGUCCAUUACUGACGCUGAGGUGCGAAAGCGUGGGGAGCAAACGGGAUUAGAUACCCGCGUAGUCCCUGUCUCUUAUAC
Molecule: ribosomal RNA, 301 nt
Filed under: uncultured bacterium
Lineage: Bacteria
Description: partial 16S ribosomal RNA
Rfam family: Bacterial small subunit ribosomal RNA
Source: RNAcentral